This 386-nucleotide ribosomal RNA is filed under the name uncultured bacterium. Its description in RNAcentral is "bacterial SSU rRNA". It matches the Rfam family "Bacterial small subunit ribosomal RNA", at positions 28 to 416 of the family's 1533-position model. The record is from RNAcentral.
GACGAACGCUGGCGGCGUGCUUAACACAUGCAAGUCGAGCGGUAAGGCCCUUUCGGGGGUACACGAGCGGCGAACGGGUGAGUAACACGUGGGUGACCUGCCUCUAGCUCUGGGAUAAGCCCGGGAAACUGGGUCUAAUACUGGAUAUGACUCCAUGACGCAUGUUGUGGGGUGGAAAGCCUUGUGCGGCUAGAGAUGGGCCCGCGGCCUAUCAGCUUGUUGGGGGGUGAUGGCCUACCAAGGCGACGACGGGUAGCCGGCCUGAGAGGGCGACCGGCCACACUGGGACUGAGACACGGCCCAGACUCCUACGGGAGGCAGCAGUGGGGAAUCUUGCGCAAUGGGCGAAAGCCUGACGCAGCGACGCCGCGUGAGGGAUGACGGCC